UUUACUUCUCUAGUUGUAGGACUUCCAUUCAGCCAGCCUUCAGGCGGUUUUGAAUGAUGGUUGUUCUGUAUUUUAGAUGUAAU
This is a non-coding RNA of Myotis lucifugus (little brown bat), 83 nucleotides long. NCBI's taxonomy places the organism in Eukaryota, Metazoa, Chordata, Mammalia, Chiroptera, Vespertilionidae. The record is from Rfam.